AUUAGUGUUUCCGGCGAGAGAAACAUUUUUUUUUUUUUUACUUGGGAGAAGUAUGUUAGAUUAAUAAUUAGUUCUUUGCAUUUUUUAUGGGUAGUCUGGCUGGGAUAUGCAUGUUAGCUUCCUAACUAGGUUGAAUGCCUAUUCCCUGCAGAUUAUCUUUUUCUUCGUCGCAUAAUUUAUCUCUGUUGCUUCGCAACAGGAAAAGUUGUUUUCUACCUUCUCAUCCUCUUCACGUAUUCGGUUACAGAGUAUGCUUGGCACAUGGAGCCUUCCCAACAGGAGGGUUAGCACUUCGUGCUAUAUAUAUUGCUAAAGCCACUUCUUUAGCUCUGCAGGCUAUACAAAUUCGAUACGGGAUUCCUCACAAAAGCACCUUGUAUCAGCAGUUCUUGACCAGUGAAGUUUCACGAAUUAAUUACUUAGGCUAUAGACUUUAUCGUGCUCUGCCCUUCGUAUAUGAAUUGCGAUGUGUACUGACUGGUCGUGCACAGCAACAUCUUUGACCAUGUAUGACUGGCUGAAGGUUUGAUGUGGAAAAUUCAGUGCUGAAGACGGAGUUAGAUGCUGCUAAAUUACGGGCUUUGGAGUCAGCUGCAAGUUAUCAGGAAGUAGUGGAGAGGGAGCAGAUAGCUCUGAAAAAGGCCCAGUCAUGGGAGGGUCAAAAGGCGUUGUUGCAGGAAGAGCAUGAGAGAGAGAAGUGCAAGGUAGCUGAGCUGCAACAGGAAUUAGACGAGGCUAAGAACCUCCAAAACCACAUUGAGGCCAGAUGAAAACAGGAUAGGACUAUUCCGGAGAAACUACUUACACAGUCUGCCUCCAAAAGACAGGCAGAAAGCUUCAAGACAACUGGUAGGGGAGAGGCUGAUCUGGUCUAUGUCAUCGACGAAGUGCAUGGCUGGACUUUCAUCUUCAUUUAUAAUUUUGAUGCCAAAUUUAUGCAUUUUUGUCAUCUUCUGGGAGACGCGCCGAUUUUCGACAAAAAUAGCCCCUGCUGUCGGUUGAAAUUGGGUUCUUUUGUUUGUUUUGUGUUUUUCCUUUGUUUCUCUAGUCACAGCCUGCUUUUGUAUUGCUCAAAUUUUAUUGAAAUAUCUAUUAGCUUGUAGUUAGAUCCGCCCUCUUUUCUUUUUAGAUUGUGCGUUAUUGUAAAGAGAGGCUCAAAUGUUGUUCUUGUAGGGUUUGUGUUUUUGCCUAAGCAAUUGUUUUUUAAGUCAGAUCCUUCUGACUUAGAGUGUAGGGGGUCUUGUCCCUCUGUUCUCAAGAUGUAUGCCUUCGGGCUUUUUCAGUAUUAAUAAUAGCACAUUCUAUUUGUUAAAAAAAAAAUGUCUUAUUCAAACU
Long non-coding RNA from Alnus glutinosa, 1335 nucleotides. RefSeq lists it as uncharacterized. NCBI's taxonomy places the organism in Eukaryota, Viridiplantae, Streptophyta, Magnoliopsida, Fagales, Betulaceae. The record is from RefSeq and is a predicted model, not a curated record. The transcript has 4 exons.